AUUGAACGCUGGCGGCAGGCCUAACACAUGCAAGUCGAGCGAGCGGCGCACGGGUGAGUAAUGUAUGUGGCUCUGCCCGAUAGAGGGGGAUAACUACUGGAAACGGUGGCUCAUACCGCAUACUAUCCGAUUAACCCAUAUUGGAUUAGCUAGUAGGUGGGGGAAAGGCUCACCUAGGGCACGAUCUCUAGCUGGUCUGAGAGGAUGAUCAGCCACACUGGGACGGAGACACGGCCCAGACUCCUACGGGAGGCAGCAGUGGGGAAUAGUGCACAAUGGGCGCAAGCCUGAUGCAGCAAUGCCGCGUGGAUGAAGAAGGCCUUAGGGUUGUAAAGUACUGUCAGCGGGGAGGCGUUACCCGAAGAAGAAGCACCGGCUAACUCCGUGCCAGCAGCCGCGGUAAUUC
Molecule: ribosomal RNA, 406 nt
Filed under: uncultured bacterium
Lineage: Bacteria
Description: partial 16S ribosomal RNA
Rfam family: Bacterial small subunit ribosomal RNA
Source: RNAcentral